UGCUGAGCUGGACUUUGUAUUUCCCAGCAUGAGUCUUACGUUGGACAUUCUUCAUGACAAGAUGAGUAUAGUGCUCAGUGUUUUCAAUAGUAAUGUUUUCUGAGUUUUGCAAAAGUUUCUGACCAUGGAACCAAGUCAUGGCAGUGGGUAACCAGGAUGGAACUGCGGUGUUGCUUGCAGGAGAAGCUUACUACUGGUUUCUACUUCUCCAACCUCAUUGGUGGCUAUGCAGGCACUGUCUCCAGACUGUCUAUAUUCAACCCAGUAUCCAAGAAUUUCUUUACCACCAUCACAUUCAGGUUUCUCCCACUGUAGAGUGACACUAUCUUUGGAUAUUGAAAGAAUCUCAAGUUCUCCUGGUUGGCUUGGUUUAUCUGAAAUAUUUUAAAAUAAUGAAAAGGGAGUCAGCUUUACUGGUGAAAUAAAAGGACCAAACAUG
Molecule: long non-coding RNA, 439 nt
Organism: Homo sapiens (human)
Lineage: Eukaryota; Metazoa; Chordata; Mammalia; Primates; Hominidae
Gene: TTN-AS1
Product: TTN antisense RNA 1
Source: Ensembl